RNAcentral lists this transfer RNA (30 nucleotides) under Rubus matsumuranus. RNAcentral describes it as "partial tRNA-His". Lineage: Eukaryota; Viridiplantae; Streptophyta; Magnoliopsida; Rosales; Rosaceae. The record is from RNAcentral.
CGGAGAGCCAAUACGACGGAGUGCCCAAAG